GAGAGAAAGAAAACCAAAAACAAUGUUUCUCCUCAUCCAAGGCAAUGUGUGCCCUGAUUGUGCCUGGACUGAACUUAACUGUGCUAAUUGCUAAAUAUUUCAAAUAAAUAUAAAAAAGAAUGUAGCACGAAGAACACGUUAACACAAUCAAUACGUGAUUUUCACAGUUAUAUUCAGUGGUGUAAUUUCUAACACAAUGAUAAUCCCUAUUUAUAGAGUCUCUGUCACCUCAAUCUCGCCUUUUUUCCUAUUGUUUCCUCUUCUCUUCCUGUUUCAGAACCUGUUCUUCUUUUCUUAAUAAUGAUCUAUUUCCCUUCAAAUCUUAAAACAAAGUAGGGACUACUGACAAAUCUUGGAUCAAAGUAAGGUGAUAGUGCACAAAUGGAUAAAAUGUCUCUCAGCAGUAAAUAGGCAGAAUGUAACCCAUUAAUAAAAAUCUGAAAACAUCAUAGCAUAGACUGUAUAGGAAUUUGUCAGUAUUCAAGGUAUAUGAAAUACUCACAAAUCUAAGAGCCCUUAAGGUAGGCUCUGAGCUCAGCAGGUUUCUCAACGCUCUCAGAAUGGUGUGAUGUCUAGAGCUUCAAAUGCCAGAUCCCAGCAGUGGUACUCUUCCACUUUGAAGAUCAAGAACCAAUGAGGUGAGUAUAAAUACAGUUUAUUUAAACAUAUAUAAAAAAGCACAAAAAAACUGAGGUGGAGUAAACAGGCACAACGCGUUUUGACCACAGCAGUGGUCUUCCUCAGGUGCAAAUACCUUGACACAUAAAAAUCCCCAUAUCUAUAUACCUUUUAAUGUCCUUCAUAUCGUCUAGGUGUGUAGUUUACUCUUCUGUCCAUACAUGGUCCGUUCUUCGUGAACAUCUGCCACUCGCAAUAUGGCGGUAAUAUCCGGUUUUCAUGUCCACUGGAUAUUACCGCCAUAUUGAGAGCUUUGUUGUGUUUUUAUGUACGUUUCAAGAAAGUGUAUACAGAAAUUAGACCUACGUAAAUGUAUCCAGAAUUUACGUAUGUAUUAGUGUUUUUAGUAAUACAACACUUGGGUGAAUAUUUGCUGCGCUGGUUGUCUUAUUGUGGCGCCACUAAUCCUUAAAUACAUUUUUAGUAUUUGACAAAUCUUGACAAAUGACAAGGCAAAACAAGUGGAGCUUAAUAAAAAAAAAAAGUAACCCAAAGAGCACCAGAUUAAGUUUGCAUAUAAAACAAAUUAUUCAUCCAGUGAUUCAAUAAAAAUAGUUUUAAAAAAAGUGCAAACAGCAGUGUAGGCAUGUAAACAUUAAGUCAACAUAAAGGGUUAGUAUGCCUACAAUAUUAUGGGUUUGUGGGAUUUCUAACUAAGCACUUAUCUCUGUACUUGCACUUUUCUUGUACUAUAUUUAUUGAAUCACUGGAUGAAUAUAUCUUUUUAAAGGCAAACUUAAUCUGGUGUGGUUUUUUUUUUUUUUUUACUGUGUGCCUGCAUCUGGUGGGGGAACAGAUUCUUCCCACGAAGGACCCAACAACUUUUUUUUUUUACCACACUUUCACCCAUAUAGAGGUUGAGCGCUCAUUACAUAUUUGUAUAUGCAAAGGUAGUGGAGCUUGCCUUAUGCCUACGAUUGUCACGAAUACAUCCAAUAAAAUAAAUCCUGUGUUUUAAAGAGAAAUAGAUCGGAAAUGAAGAAAAGAAGAACGGAUUCUGAAAGAGGAAGAGAAAACUAAACAAUAGGAGAAAGUUUUAGUUGCAGUACCACUUUAAGCAAAAUACAUUUUAAAAUGGCUAAUUUUUUUCUCUGUAAAACAUCUUUUUUAAGUUUAUCAAAUAAUGAACUUUUUGCAAAUAUAAAUAAAAAAAAAAUACUUACG
Molecule: long non-coding RNA, 1842 nt
Filed under: Pelobates cultripes (western spadefoot toad)
Lineage: Eukaryota; Metazoa; Chordata; Amphibia; Anura; Pelobatidae
Source: RNAcentral